GAGUUUGAUCAUGGCUCAGGAUGAACGCUGGCGGCGUGGAUAAGGCAUGCAAGUAGAACGCCCCGCAAGGGGAGUUGCGAACGAGGUAGUAAUACAUAGGUACAAACCCCCGAGUCAGGAAUAACCUACCGAAAGGUAGGCUAAUACUUGAUAGUCCCGCAAGGGUAAAGAUUUAUCGCUUGGGGAUUGGCCUGUGCAGUAUCAGCUAGUUGGUAGGGUAAUAGCCUACCAAGGCAAUGACGCUUAGGGGAGGUGAGAGCCUGGCCCCCACCGAUGGUACUGAGACACGGACCAUACACCUACGGGUGGCUGCAGUCGAGAAUCUUCCGCAAUGGACGCAAGUCUGACGGAGCGACGCCGCGUGACUGAUGAAGUCUUUCGGGAUGUAAAGGUCUUUUAUGAAGGAGAAAGUUUUGAUAGUACUUCAUGAAUAAGGGGUUGCUAAACUCGUGCCAGCAGCAGCGGUAAUACGAGUACCCCAAGCGUUAUCCGGAAUUAUUGGGCGUAAAGGGUAUGUAGGUUGUUAUGUUAGUCUUUUGUCAAAGCCUUCGGCUCA
This 556-nucleotide ribosomal RNA is filed under the name uncultured bacterium. RNAcentral describes it as "bacterial SSU rRNA". It matches the Rfam family "Bacterial small subunit ribosomal RNA", at positions 9 to 611 of the family's 1533-position model. The record is from RNAcentral.